Vicia faba (fava bean) is the source of this 327-nucleotide non-coding RNA. The record is from the annotation of a GenBank genome assembly. NCBI's taxonomy places the organism in Eukaryota, Viridiplantae, Streptophyta, Magnoliopsida, Fabales, Fabaceae.
AUGAUAAUCCUAACUUUAAAGCUUCAAACUUCAUCAAUCUUCAAGCCAAAACUUGAUGUUACAUUGAUGUCCACUCCACUCCAAAACCUGCAUAAAGUUGUUACAACAUUACACAAAAUAGCCAAAGCAAAAUCUUCAAUAAAAAGUGGUAGAACAGUCUACAAAAUCCCUACUAUUCAUGCAUGUCUAAAACCUGAGAUAAUAAGCCAAAACCAGUCCUCAAAUCAGUCCAAAUGUUGCAUACAAAUAACAAAAAUAGAAUCUACAAUAAAAAGUAGUAAAAAAGUGCACUCAAAUUGUUCAAAUGUUAUCCAUCUCCCCCCCUAA